This is a non-coding RNA of Danio rerio (zebrafish), 1005 nucleotides long. The record is from RefSeq and is a predicted model, not a curated record. NCBI's taxonomy places the organism in Eukaryota, Metazoa, Chordata, Actinopteri, Cypriniformes, Danionidae.
UGGACAGAUUUCAGGCAUCUAAACUCAUUAAAAACAGAUUUAUCUUUAUGAAAUACAGAAAUCACUUUUAUUUACAUCUUGUCAACUGACCAAUUACAUUCAUAAAGUGUCCUGUGCGGUGAAAGGAUAGUAACGUCACUGUUUCUAAAACCAUAAUGCAAUUUUAUUUAUUUUUUGCACCUAACGCUAACAAAUCUCGCGAUAUGACUAACAUAAUCUCGCGGCCGCGAGAUACUAGGGCGCUGUUUUCAAAUCUCAUUUUCUUCCGGUUUUGUUCAGCACCACGAGAACAUGAGGACGCGGCGAAAAGUUGGACAAUUAUCACAAAUCUCCCACCGUGUAAGUACAGUUUGUAUUCAUUUAAUAACAUUAUUGAGUUUUACUCGAAGAAACUGAAAUAAAUGAUGCACAUUGUCAGUAGCGAUGUGGCGUUGCUUUGAGUAGGCUAAAAUUAGCCGUUAUGCUAAAAGUAAGUCGAGUUUGAGCAAUAUGUCAUGUUAUCACAGCAAUCUGGUGCAGUUUAUCAGGGUCUUCCUACACUGGUCCUCAAAGACAGCUGGUCAACAUGUUUUCCAGCAUCUCUGCCCAUCAUCCACCUGCUGUGUGUUCAGUCAGAGCUGAAAAUGACUAUUUUAGGGUCAAUAACAAUCAGUCAUCUGUCAGAGAGAAUUCAAGACUCUUUCUCCAGGCCGACUAAUUGUCUCCAGUGCAAAUGAUCCUCUGUCAUCACACUCCCUGAGGACACUCCAGAGUAGCAGGUCUACAUGUUCUGUUAAGAGACUGGAUUCUGAGAGCGAGAUCCUGUGAAGUGUUUAUCAAAGUUAAAAAGAAGAACUGGAUCUGUGUUCAGCAACUGUCCGGAGUUGGUGGAUGUUCUGUCCGAGCCUGAUUAAAAGAGUGAUAAACGGAUGCUGUGAAGUGAGUCCAGAUGCUACAGACACAGAAAAAGAUGCAGCAAUGGAGGAACACAGCAAGCACCUUCCAGGAAGAGCUGGAGAAUAGUAG